This 301-nucleotide ribosomal RNA is filed under the name uncultured bacterium. Its description in RNAcentral is "partial 16S ribosomal RNA". It matches the Rfam family "Bacterial small subunit ribosomal RNA", at positions 509 to 809 of the family's 1533-position model. The record is from RNAcentral.
CAGUAGCCGCGGUAAUACGGAGGGAGCUAGCGUUGUUCGGAAUUACUGGGCGUAAAGCGCACGUAGGCGGCUUUGUAAGUUAGAGGUGAAAGCCUGGAGCUCAACUCCAGAACUGCCUUUAAGACUGCAUCGCUUGGAUCCAGGAGAGGUGAGUGGAAUUCCGAGUGUAGAGGUGGAAUUCGUAGAUAUUCGGAAGAACACCAGUGGCGAAGGCGGCUCACUGGACUGGUAUUGACGCUGAGGUGCGAAAGCGUGGGGAGCAAACAGGAUUAGAUACCCGAGUAGUCCCUGUCUCUUAUAU